RNAcentral lists this ribosomal RNA (442 nucleotides) under uncultured bacterium. RNAcentral's name for it is "partial 16S ribosomal RNA". It matches the Rfam family "Bacterial small subunit ribosomal RNA", at positions 338 to 795 of the family's 1533-position model. The record is from RNAcentral.
CCUACGGGAGGCAGCAGUAGGGAAUCUUUCACAAUGGGCGAAAGCCUGAUGGAGCAACGCCGCGUGCAGGAUGAAGGCCUUCGGGUUGUAAACUGCUUUUAUAAGCGAGAAAUAUGAUGGUAACUUAUGAAUAAGGAUCGGCUAACUACGUGCCAGCAGCCGCGGUCAUACGUAGGAUCCGAGCAUUAUCCGGAGUGACUGGGUGUAAAGAGUUGCGUAGGUGGCAUAAUAAGUAGCUAGGGAAAUCUGCUGGCUCAACCAUUCGGACUAUUGGCUAAACUGGUAAGCUCGAGACCGUUAGGGGUAACUGGAAUUUCUGGUGUAGGAGUGAAAUCCGUAGAUAUUAGGAGGAACACCAAUAGCGAAGGCAGGUUACUGGGACGGUUCUGACACUAAGGCACGAAAGCGUAGGUAGCAAACGGGAUUAGAUACCCUUGUAGUC